AAAGAAUGUCCAGAUGUUCUUUUUGGAGAAGAAGAACUACAAAGUUAGAGCAAAUACUCUUAUUUAUAAGAAGAAUGAACUCAGUGGGUGAGAAGGAGAAUACAAAUGCAACAGCCUCAAAUUAGCAGUGGAUGCCUACUGGGCUCCUGCAACCCCUUUCCACGGGGAUAAUUAGAGUUCAGGGCGGGAAGUACCACAGCUGAUUAAAGAGAGGACCUUGGGCACAUCAACUCUCAAAUAUCUUGAUUACAGAAAUU
RNAcentral lists this long non-coding RNA (257 nucleotides) under Homo sapiens (human). RNAcentral's name for it is "HSALNT0300670". The record is from RNAcentral. Lineage: Eukaryota; Metazoa; Chordata; Mammalia; Primates; Hominidae.